CUUCUCUUUGUUUUCUCAUUUACAAAUAGGGAAACCAAGGCACAAUGGAAUGAAAUGCAGCUGAAAUUAGUCGUCGGUGAGAUGAGCGCUCCUCCCCUUCCUGGCACAGUCUGAAAGGUGCAGGGACCUCAAGUCCUGGUCACUUUCUGAGGGACAGCCAUUAUGGUCACCCUCUUGAAGAGAAGAAGGUUUUAUAGUCCCUCAUCACUCAUAGGCC
Molecule: long non-coding RNA, 217 nt
Filed under: Mustela putorius furo (domestic ferret)
Lineage: Eukaryota; Metazoa; Chordata; Mammalia; Carnivora; Mustelidae
Description: lncRNA (ENSMPUG00000031272.1)
Source: RNAcentral